UCUCCAGUAGCUCAGUUGGUAGAGCGGGUGGCUGUUAACCAUCAGGUCCGUGGUUCGAAUCCACGCUGGGGAGCCA
Molecule: transfer RNA, 76 nt
Filed under: Pricia sp.
Lineage: Bacteria; Pseudomonadati; Bacteroidota; Flavobacteriia; Flavobacteriales; Flavobacteriaceae
Also listed under: 1 other name
Description: tRNA-Asn
Rfam family: tRNA
About the family: Transfer RNA (tRNA) molecules are approximately 80 nucleotides in length. Their secondary structure includes four short double-helical elements and three loops (D, anti-codon, and T loops). Further hydrogen bonds mediate the characteristic L-shaped molecular structure. tRNAs have two regions of fundamental functional importance: the anti-codon, which is responsible for specific mRNA codon recognition, and the 3' end, to which the tRNAs corresponding amino acid is attached (by aminoacyl-tRNA synthetases). tRNAs cope with the degeneracy of the genetic code in two manners: having more than one tRNA (with a specific anti-codon) for a particular amino acid; and 'wobble' base-pairing, i.e. permitting non-standard base-pairing at the 3rd anti-codon position.
Source: RNAcentral